Molecule: ribosomal RNA, 494 nt
Filed under: uncultured bacterium
Lineage: Bacteria
Description: partial 16S ribosomal RNA
Rfam family: Bacterial small subunit ribosomal RNA
Source: RNAcentral
GAUGAACGCUGGCGGCGUGCCUAACACAUGCAAGUCGAACGAGGUAUUUUGAUUGAAGUUUUCGGAUGGAUUUCAAGAUACCGAGUGGCGGACGGGUGAGUAACGCGUGGGUAACCUGCCUCAUACAGGGGGCUAACGGGUAGAAAUGACUGCUAAUACCGCAUAAGCGCACAGUACCGCAUGGUACGGUGUGAAAAACUCCGGUGGUAUGAGAUGGACCCGCGGUUGAUUAGUUAGUUGGUGGGGUAACGGCCCACCAAGGCGACGAUCAGUAGCCGACCUGAGAGGGUGAUCGGCCACAUUGGGACUGAGACACGGCCCAGACUCCUACGGGAGGCAGCAGUGGGGGAUAUUGCACAAUGGAGGAAACUCUGAUGCAGCGACGCCGCGUGAGUGAAGAAGUAUUUCGGUAUGUAAAGCUCUAUCAGCAGGGAAGAAAAUGACGGUACCUGACUAAGAAGCCCCGGCUAACUACGUGCCAGCCGCCGCGGUAA